GCCGGGAUCGCCUAGCCUGGAAUGGCGCGCGCCUGGAAAGCGCGUAUUCUGUUGAAUACGAGAGUUCAAAUCUCUCUCCCGGCG
This 84-nucleotide transfer RNA is filed under the name Nitrosopumilaceae archaeon. RNAcentral describes it as "tRNA-Ser". It matches the Rfam family "tRNA". Rfam says of the family: Transfer RNA (tRNA) molecules are approximately 80 nucleotides in length. Their secondary structure includes four short double-helical elements and three loops (D, anti-codon, and T loops). Lineage: Archaea; Thermoproteati; Nitrososphaerota; Nitrososphaeria; Nitrosopumilales; Nitrosopumilaceae. The record is from RNAcentral.